This 1745-nucleotide long non-coding RNA is filed under the name Olea europaea subsp. europaea. The record is from RNAcentral. Lineage: Eukaryota; Viridiplantae; Streptophyta; Magnoliopsida; Lamiales; Oleaceae.
GUCAUGCUGAAAUAACAAAACACUAACCCCUGAAGUAGGAGGUCGUUCCAUAAAAAAUCACCAUGCGUGGUGAAGAAAACGCCAACAUAAUUCCCAUUUUGUUUAGGGUUUUUUCGCUCUUUGUAUGUGCGUUGUGUGUAAUAGGAGUUUCCAUAGUAUAUCUGAAUUUUGAUGUGUAUAUAUAUAGCUUUGGCAGUAAUUUUAUGGUUUUGGAGUUUCAUGUCAUGCUGCUAUAUUAAUUCCUUUUUUUCAUCUUUAUUUAAAAUCUUGUUAUGUUGUCAUUGCUGGAUUUCAUGGAUCAAUUUUGCUGCCAAUUUGAGUGCACCCCAUUUAUAGACCCCUUGUGUCGAAAUUCCACAUCUAAUUGAUGAGAUGAACAAAAUGCUAAUGUCAUUUCCCAGUUUGUGGAGUUUCUUGGAAUGCUACUUGUGCCUCAGUUGCAAGUUAGUUCUACAUGUGCAUUUUUGUUUUUGUAUCUUAAAACUGAAGUGUUUUCCCAAUUUGAUUCAGUUGGCAGAACUAUUGCCCCUGAAGGAAGAUAACAAAGAAACAAAAUUACCAAAUUACUUAUCUCACAUUAGGAUUUUUAUUUCAGUGCUUUGAUUUUCCAUUUCAUUUCCUUAUUUGCUCUUUUUCUGCAAUUUUCUUUCUUAUUUCUGAAACAUUCAAGGUUCAGUAAUCUCUGCAGAUUUUGCUAUCAGUUGCUGAGCAGCUUGAGGAAUCUUAUUUAACACACAUCAUGCUUCCCGUGUUUUUGGUAGCAGUUGGUGAAAAAUGCUGAUUUCAAAUUCUUCCACUCCAUUGUGCAGCCAAGAAUAACAGGCAAUUGUUUUCUGAACAAUUACCAAUUCUGGUAUCUAAAUAGUAAACUGUAUCUUUUAAGCAUUGUUUCUUCCAUUAUAGGUUUGAAACCCCGAACUUUAGUGGCCGAGAGACUUGCUACAGUGUGUCCACUACCAAUUCUACUAGUGGGCGUGCUAGGACACCCAAGCAAGCAUGAAGAAUUGACCCAGUAGUUGAGGAACCUUUUCAUUCAAAGUUUUGGAUUGGAAGGUCAGUCGGGAAAGAAUGAGAUUGUCAAUUCUGUUCGCUUUAUUUGGUUGGUAUAGUGGGAUUAAUUUUCAAAUCAUUGAGAUUGUGCUUCGACUUCAGCUAUUUGUGUAUUGAGUAUUAGCAUUUCCACUAUGCAGCAUCUUUGGAAAACGUCAUAGUAUGAUAUUUAACAUCACCUGGGAAUUUGUUAAAAGUUCUGCCAUGAAUUUGAAAAUAGUGCAGCCCAUUUUUUGAAAGUCAUUGUGAGUCUCUUUUUACUUUUAAAUAUUAGUCAUUUCCUUAUAAUUUUAUGGUUGCUUUUAGUACUUUGAUUUCUUGGUCUCUUAGGUGCAAUAUAUUGAUGCAUAGGUUGCCUCAACUCAUGUAUUGCCUGCUCUUGUAACUCUUGGUUCUGACCAAAACCUGAAUGUGAAAUAUGCCAACAUUGAUGCUUUUAAAGUUGUAUCUCAGCAUUUUAAAAGUGACAUGGUAUGUUUGUACCUUUAGAAUCAAGGUUUUGUUGAUUGGGCGUAGCUUUUAUAUGUCAACUGAAAAAAGUUUCCCGCUAGAUUGUUGACAAUAUAUGGGUCCAAAUGGAUGCUUUUCUUGAAGAUGGAUCAGUUGAAGCUACCAUUACUGUGGUUCGUGCACUGGCGUUUGCUGUACCACAUACAACAAAUAGGCUUCGAGAAUAUAUCAUUGAAACAUUUUUU